GUGCUCCCUCUGGCAGCACAUAUACUAAAAUUGUGAAUGAUACAGAGAAGAUUAGCAUGGCCUCUGCACAAGGAUGACACGAAAAUUCCUGAAUCCUUCCAUGUUUCC
This is a small nuclear RNA of Loxodonta africana (African savanna elephant), 108 nucleotides long. The record is from Ensembl. Lineage: Eukaryota; Metazoa; Chordata; Mammalia; Proboscidea; Elephantidae.